AGAUUAAGUUAUUAAGGGCGCACGGUGGAUGCCUUGGCACUAGAAGCCGAUGAAGGACGUUACUAACGACGAUAUGCUUUGGGGAGCUGUAAGUAAGCUUUGAUCCAGAGAUUUCCGAAUGGGGAAACCCAGCAUGAGUUAUGUCAUGUUAUCGAUAUGUGAAUACAUAGCAUAUCAGAAGGCACACCCGGAGAACUGAAACAUCUUAGUACCCGGAGGAAGAGAAAGAAAAUUCGAUUCCCUUAGUAGCGGCGAGCGAAACGGGAAGAGCCCAAACCAAACCGGCGAGUUACGAUUUGAUGCAAGGUUAAGCAGUAAAUGUGGAGCCGUAGCGAAAGCGAGUCUGAAUAGGGCGUUUAGUAUUUGGUCGUAGACCCGAAACCAGGUGAUCUACCCUUGGUCAGGUUGAAGUUCAGGUAACACUGAAUGGAGGACCGAACCGACUUACGUUGAAAAGUGAGCGGAUGAACUGAGGGUAGCGGAGAAAUUCCAAUCGAACCUGGAGAUAGCUGGUUCUCUCCGAAAUAGCUUUAGGGCUAGCCUCAAGUGAUGAUUAUUGGAGGUAGAGCACUGUUUGGACGAGGGGCCCCUCUCGGGUUACCGAAUUCAGACAACCCGUCCACCGAUUGACUAAGGUUUCCAGAGGAAGGCUCGUCCGCUCUGGGUUAGUCGGGUCCUAAGCUGAGGCCGACAGGCGUAGGCGAUGGAUAACAGGUUGAUAUUCCUGUACCACCUAUAAUCGUUUUAAUCGAUGGGGGGACGCAGUAGGAUAGGCGAAGCGUGCGAUUGGAUUGCACGUCUAAGCAGUAAGGCUGAGUAUUAGGCAAAUCCGGUACUCGUUAAGGCUGAGCUGUGAUGGGGAGAAGACAUUGUGUCUUCGAGUCGUUGAUUUCACACUGCCGAGAAAAGCCUCUAGAUAGAAAAUAGGUGCCCGUACCGCAAACCGACACAGGUAGUCAAGAUGAGAAUUCUAAGGUGAGCGAGCGAACUCUCGUUAAGGAACUCGGCAAAAUGACCCCGUAACUUCGGGAGAAGGGGUGCUCUUUAGGGUUAACGCCCAGAAGAGCCGCAGUGAAUAGGCCCAAGCGACUGUUUAUCAAAAACACAGGUCUCUGCUAAACCGUAAGGUGAUGUAUAGGGGCUGACGCCUGCCCGGUGCUGGAAGGGCACAGCUUGUACAGGAUAGGUAGGAGCCUUUGAAACGUGAGCGCUAGCUUACGUGGAGGCGCUGGUGGGAUACUACCCUAGCUGUGUUGGCUUUCUAACCCGCACCACUUAUCGUGGUGGGAGACAGUGUCAGGCGGGCAGUUUGACUGGGGCGGUCGCCUCCUAAAAGGUAACGGAGGCGCUCAAAGGUUCCCUCAGAAUGGUUGGAAAUCAUUCAUAGAGUGUAAAGGCAUAAGGGAGCUUGACUGCGAGACCUACAAGUCGAGCAGGG
This 1438-nucleotide ribosomal RNA is filed under the name Staphylococcus aureus. Its description in RNAcentral is "partial 23S ribosomal RNA". It matches the Rfam family "Bacterial large subunit ribosomal RNA", at positions 1 to 2398 of the family's 2925-position model. Lineage: Bacteria; Bacillati; Bacillota; Bacilli; Caryophanales; Staphylococcaceae. The record is from RNAcentral.